GAUGAACGCUGGCGGCGUGCCUAAUACAUGCAAGUCGAGCGAACGGACGAGAAGCUUGCUUCUCUGAUGUUAGCGGCGGACGGGUGAGUAACACGUGGAUAACCUACCUAUAAGACUGGGAUAACUUCGGGAAACCGUAGCUAAUACCGGAUAAUAUUUUGAACCGCAUGGUUCAAAAGUGAAAGACGGUCUUGCUGUCACUUAUAGAUGGAUCCGCGCUGCAUUAGCUAGUUGGUAAGGUAACGGCUUACCAAGGCAACGAUGCAUAGCCGACCUGAGAGGGUGAUCGGCCACACGGGAACUGAGACACGGUCGAGACUCCUACGGGAGGCAGCAGUAGGGAAUCUUCCGCAAUGGGCGAAAGCCUGACGGAGCAACGCCGCGUGAGUGAUGAAGGUCUUCGGAUCGUAAAACUCUGUUAUUAGGGAAGAACAUAUGUGUAAGUAACUGUGCACAUCUUGACGGUACCUAAUCAGAAAGCCACGGCUAACUACGUG
RNAcentral lists this ribosomal RNA (497 nucleotides) under uncultured bacterium. RNAcentral's name for it is "partial 16S ribosomal RNA". It matches the Rfam family "Bacterial small subunit ribosomal RNA", at positions 28 to 507 of the family's 1533-position model. The record is from RNAcentral.